RNAcentral lists this ribosomal RNA (492 nucleotides) under uncultured bacterium. RNAcentral's name for it is "partial 16S ribosomal RNA". It matches the Rfam family "Bacterial small subunit ribosomal RNA", at positions 29 to 507 of the family's 1533-position model. The record is from RNAcentral.
AGUGAACGCUGGCGGUAGGCCUAAUACAUGCAAGUCGAACGGCAGCACAGUAAGAGUUUGCUCUUACGGGUGGCGAGUGGCGGACGGGUGAGGAAUACAUCGGAAUCUACUUUUUCGUGGGGGAUUACGUAGGGAAACUUACGCUAAUACCGCAUACGACCUACGGGUGAGAGCAGGGGAUCUUCGGACCUUGCGCGACUGAAUGAGCCGAUGCCGGAUUAGCUAGUUGGCGGGGUAAAGGCCCACCAAGGCGACGAUCCGUAGCUGGUCUGAGAGGAUGAUCAGCCACACUGGAACUGAGACACGGUCCAGACUCCUACGGGAGGAAGCAGUGGGGAAUUUUGGACAAUGGGCGCAAGCCUGAUCCAGCCAUACCGCGUGGGUGAAGAAGGCCUUCGGAUUGUAAAGCCCUUUUGUUGGGAAAGAAAAGCAGCAGGUUAAUACCCCGCUGUUCUGACGGUACCCAAAGAAUAAGCACCGGCUAACUUCGUG